GGGCCCGUGGCGAAACUGGCAGACGCAGCGGACUUAAAAUCUGCGGCCGCAAGGCGUGUGGGUUCGAUUCCCACCGGGCCCA
RNAcentral lists this transfer RNA (82 nucleotides) under bacterium. RNAcentral's name for it is "tRNA-Leu". It matches the Rfam family "tRNA". Rfam says of the family: Transfer RNA (tRNA) molecules are approximately 80 nucleotides in length. Their secondary structure includes four short double-helical elements and three loops (D, anti-codon, and T loops). The record is from RNAcentral. RNAcentral also lists the same sequence under 2 other names.